AUACGGAGGAUCCGAGCGUUAUCCGGAUUUAUUGGGUUUAAAGGGUGCGCAGGCGGGAGAUUAAGUCGGCGGUGAAAUUUUGCAGCUCAACUGUAAAAGUGCCUUCGAAACUGGUUUCCUUGAGUGUAGAUGAAGUAGGCGGAAUUUGUGGUGUAGCGGUGAAAUGCAUAGAUAUCACGAGGAACUCCGAUUGCGCAGGCAGCUUACUAAACUACUACUGACGCUCAGGCACGAAGGCGUGGGGAUCAAACAGGAUUAGAUACCCUGGUAGUCCACGCAGUAAACGAUGAUUACUAGCUGUUUGCGAUACAAUGUAAGCGGCUGAGCGAAAGCGUUAAGUAAUCCACCUGGGGAGUACGGUCGCAAGAAUGAAACUCAAAUGAAUUGACGGGG
RNAcentral lists this ribosomal RNA (393 nucleotides) under uncultured bacterium. Its description in RNAcentral is "partial 16S ribosomal RNA". It matches the Rfam family "Bacterial small subunit ribosomal RNA", at positions 523 to 918 of the family's 1533-position model. The record is from RNAcentral.